RNAcentral lists this ribosomal RNA (207 nucleotides) under uncultured bacterium. RNAcentral describes it as "partial 16S ribosomal RNA". It matches the Rfam family "Bacterial small subunit ribosomal RNA", at positions 1294 to 1500 of the family's 1533-position model. The record is from RNAcentral.
CGGAUUGCAGGCUGCAACUCGCCUGUAUGAAGUCGGAAUUGCUAGUAAUCGCGGAUCAGCAUGCCGCGGUGAAUACGUUCCCGGGCCUUGUACACACCGCCCGUCACACCAUGAGAGUCGGGAACACCCGAAGUCCGUAGUCUAACCGCAAGGAGGGCGCGGCCGAAGGUGGGCUUGAUAAUUGGGGUGAAGUCGUAACAAGGUAUC